GGGCCGGUAGCUCAGUUGGUUAGAGCGCACCCCUGAUAAGGGUGAGGUCGGAAGUUCGAGUCUUCCUCGGCCCA
Molecule: transfer RNA, 74 nt
Filed under: uncultured SAR11 cluster bacterium HF0770_37D02
Lineage: Bacteria; Pseudomonadati; Pseudomonadota; Alphaproteobacteria; Candidatus Pelagibacterales
Description: tRNA-Ile
Rfam family: tRNA
About the family: Transfer RNA (tRNA) molecules are approximately 80 nucleotides in length. Their secondary structure includes four short double-helical elements and three loops (D, anti-codon, and T loops). Further hydrogen bonds mediate the characteristic L-shaped molecular structure. tRNAs have two regions of fundamental functional importance: the anti-codon, which is responsible for specific mRNA codon recognition, and the 3' end, to which the tRNAs corresponding amino acid is attached (by aminoacyl-tRNA synthetases). tRNAs cope with the degeneracy of the genetic code in two manners: having more than one tRNA (with a specific anti-codon) for a particular amino acid; and 'wobble' base-pairing, i.e. permitting non-standard base-pairing at the 3rd anti-codon position.
Source: RNAcentral